CCUACGGGUGGCAGCAGUGGGGAAUAUUGGGCAAUGGACGCAAGUCUGACCCAGCAACGCCGCGUGAAGGAAGAAGGCUUUCGGGUUGUAAACUUCUUUUAAGGGGGAAGAGCAGAAGAAGGUACCCCUUGAAUAAGCCAAGGCUAACUACGUGCCAGCAGCCGCGGUAAUACGUAGGUGGCAAGCGUUGUCCGGAUUUACUGGGUGGAAAGGGCGUGUAGCCGGGUUGACAAGUCAGAUGUGAAAUCCUGCGGCUUAACCGCAGAACUGCAUUUGAAACUGUUGAUCUUGAGUACUGGAGAGGCAGCUGGCCUUCCUUGUGUAGCGGUGAAAUGCGUAGAUAUUAGGAGGAACACCAGUGGCGAAGGCGGUCUGCUGGACAGCAACUGACGGUGAGGCGCGAAAGCGUGGGGAGCAAACAGGAUUAGAUACCCCUGUAGUC
This 442-nucleotide ribosomal RNA is filed under the name uncultured bacterium. RNAcentral's name for it is "partial 16S ribosomal RNA". It matches the Rfam family "Bacterial small subunit ribosomal RNA", at positions 338 to 795 of the family's 1533-position model. The record is from RNAcentral.